This 77-nucleotide transfer RNA is filed under the name Sulfitobacter litoralis. RNAcentral describes it as "tRNA-Arg". It matches the Rfam family "tRNA". Rfam says of the family: Transfer RNA (tRNA) molecules are approximately 80 nucleotides in length. Their secondary structure includes four short double-helical elements and three loops (D, anti-codon, and T loops). Further hydrogen bonds mediate the characteristic L-shaped molecular structure. tRNAs have two regions of fundamental functional importance: the anti-codon, which is responsible for specific mRNA codon recognition, and the 3' end, to which the tRNAs corresponding amino acid is attached (by aminoacyl-tRNA synthetases). tRNAs cope with the degeneracy of the genetic code in two manners: having more than one tRNA (with a specific anti-codon) for a particular amino acid; and 'wobble' base-pairing, i.e. permitting non-standard base-pairing at the 3rd anti-codon position. The record is from RNAcentral. Lineage: Bacteria; Pseudomonadati; Pseudomonadota; Alphaproteobacteria; Rhodobacterales; Roseobacteraceae. RNAcentral also lists the same sequence under 1 other name.
GCCUUGGUAGCUCAGUUGGAUAGAGCGCACCGCUACGAACGGUGAGGUCGGGGGUUCGAAUCCUCCCCAGGGCGCCA